This 488-nucleotide ribosomal RNA is filed under the name soil fungal sp. DM2-249. RNAcentral describes it as "eukaryotic LSU rRNA". It matches the Rfam family "Eukaryotic large subunit ribosomal RNA", at positions 149 to 657 of the family's 3401-position model. The record is from RNAcentral. Lineage: Eukaryota; Fungi.
UUUGUAGAGGAUGCUUUUGAUGCGGUGCCUUCCGAGUUCCCUGGAACGGGACGCCAUAGAGGGUGAGAGCCCCGUCUGGUUGGAUGCCAAAUCUCUGUAAAGCUCCUUCGACGAGUCGAGUAGUUUGGGAAUGCUGCUCUAAAUGGGAGGUAUAUGUCUUCUAAAGCUAAAUACCGGCCAGAGACCGAUAGCGCACAAGUAGAGUGAUCGAAAGAUGAAAAGCACUUUGAAAAGAGAGUUAAAAAGUACGUGAAAUUGUUGAAAGGGAAGCGUUUAUGACCAGACUUGGGCUUGGUUAAUCAUCUGGGGUUCUCCCCAGUGCACUUUUCCAGUCCAGGCCAGCAUCAGUUUUCGCCGGGGGAUAAAGGCUUCGGGAAUGUGGCUCUCUCCGGGGAGUGUUAUAGCCCGUUGCGUAAUACCCUGGCGGGGACUGAGGUUCGCGCAUCUGCAAGGAUGCUGGCGUAAUGGUCAUCAACGACCCGUCUUGA